Molecule: long non-coding RNA, 885 nt
Filed under: Chrysemys picta bellii (western painted turtle)
Lineage: Eukaryota; Metazoa; Chordata; Testudines; Emydidae
Description: lncRNA (ENSCPBG00000010801.1)
Source: RNAcentral
UUUUUGAAAACCUGGCAGCAAGAAACUGAUUUAAAAAACUCUUGUCAUUUAAUUUCUUCAAAUUCAGUCAUUUCAGUUCCUAGAAAGACUUACGGUAAUUUCCUUCAGAAGUACUCAGCAAGCUCAUUUCUGGCCAAAUGCCUUUAAAGCAAGAGCACUGUCAUGAAUUAAAGUACACCCUCUGUGCAGUGCUUCAACAACCCAGCGUGAAACAGAAGAGACAUGCAUCUCUCAAGGCUCACAUCCAGAAGGAAGAGACGCUGACUAAAGUCUUCAGAAUAAGAGUAGAAGAUUUCCUGCCUUGAUUGAUCCUUGAGGAAUGGUCCGUUCCCCAGAUGCUUGAAUGUUGCUCUCUCUCCUGUAUACAAAGUUGAUAUAGAGAAGCUAAUGAUCUCUGCUGAGUAGAAACAAUUAAAGAAGAAACUACCCCAAGGUGAGUCACUGCUUGUUAAUUCAAGAAUCCAGCUGCAAGUGCAGUUACCCAGUUUGCUCAGACAGAUGAGUAUUUUGCAUGCACAGUUACCUAUUUGCACUGUGGACUUAAUUUAGGAGCAAAUGUGCAGUGUUUUUGUUCUUCUGUGUGUGAUGUCAUAACAUUCAGAGAGAGAAAGUGAUGACAGUAUUGUAUUGAUCCAGAGAGCACUUCCAGCUUUGCAAGUUCAAAACUAGUGGGGGAGUACCAGGGGAACAGUCUGUGCAGUAUGAAAGUGGGGGAGGGGAGGAAGGAAGCUUUUCUUUUUGAAAGGCUGAUGAAGAUGAAACCCUCAGGGAGUUCUCUGAGCAAAGAUUCUCUUUUAAGAACUAGCACAUCUUAAGUACAAGUCUCUGGGGAAGUGACAUCACCGUUUCAUUUCAUGUUCAAGGUCACUAAAAUACACCAAAAAU